This 439-nucleotide ribosomal RNA is filed under the name uncultured bacterium. Its description in RNAcentral is "partial 16S ribosomal RNA". It matches the Rfam family "Bacterial small subunit ribosomal RNA", at positions 339 to 795 of the family's 1533-position model. The record is from RNAcentral.
CUACGGGCGGCUCCAGUGGGGAAUAUUGCACAAUGGACGAAAGUCUGAUGCAGCAACGCCGCGUGGAGGAUGACACAUUUCGGUGCGUAAACUCCUUUUAUAGGUCAAGAUAAUGACGGUAGCCUAUGAAUAAGCGCCGGCUAACUCCGUGCCAGCAGCCGCGGUAAUACGGAGGGCGCAAGCGUUACUCGGAAUCACUGGGCGUAAAGAGCGUGUAGGCGGGUUAAUAAGUCAGAAGUGAAAUCCAAUGGCUCAACCAUUGAACUGCUUUUGAAACUGUUAACCUAGAGUAUGGGAGAGGUAGAUGGAAUUUCUGGUGUAGGGGUAAAAUCCGUAGAGAUCAGAAGGAAUACCGAUUGCGAAGGCGAUCUACUGGAACAUUACUGACGCUGAGACGCGAAAGCGUGGGGAGCAAACAGGAUUAGAUACCCGCGUAGUC